UCCGUAGGUGAACCUGCGGAAGGAUCAUUACCGAGUUGAUUCGGGCUCCGGCCCGAUCCUCCCACCCUUUGUGUACCUACCUCUGUUGCUUUGGCGGGCCGCGGUUCUCCGCGGCCGCCCCCCUCCCCGGGGGGUGGCCAGCGCCCGCCAGAGGACCAUCAAACUCCAGUCAGUAAACGAUGCAGUCUGAAAAACAUUUAAUAAACUAAAACUUUCAACAGCGGAUCUCUUGGUUCUGGCAUCGAUGAAGAACGCAGCGAAAUGCGAUAAGUAAUGUGAAUUGCAGAAUUCAGUGAAUCGUCGAAUCUUUGAACGCACAUUGCGCCCUUUGGUAUUCCGAAGGGCAUGCCUGUUCGAGCGUCAUUACAACCCUCAAGCUCUGCUUGGUAUUGGGCACCGUCCUUUGCGGGCGCGCCUCAAAGACCUCGGCGGUGGCGUCUUGCCUCAAGCGUAGUAGAACAUACAUCUCGCUUCGGAGCGCAGGGCGUCGCCCGCCGGACGAACCUUCUGAACUUUUCUCAAGGUUGACCUCGGAUCAGGUAGGGAUACCCGCUGAACUUAAGCAUAUCAAUAAGCGGAGGA
Molecule: ribosomal RNA, 582 nt
Filed under: Botryosphaeria dothidea
Lineage: Eukaryota; Fungi; Ascomycota; Dothideomycetes; Botryosphaeriales; Botryosphaeriaceae
Description: eukaryotic LSU rRNA
Rfam family: 5.8S ribosomal RNA (bases 210-363)
Source: RNAcentral